Molecule: ribosomal RNA, 1471 nt
Filed under: Lacticaseibacillus paracasei
Lineage: Bacteria; Bacillati; Bacillota; Bacilli; Lactobacillales; Lactobacillaceae
Description: bacterial SSU rRNA
Rfam family: Bacterial small subunit ribosomal RNA
Source: RNAcentral
GGGGGGGGGCCUAAUACAUGGCAGUCGAACGAGUUCUCGUUGAUGAUCGGUGCUUGCACCGAGAUUCAACAUGGAACGAGUGGCGGACGGGUGAGUAACACGUGGGUAACCUGCCCUUAAGUGGGGGAUAACAUUUGGAAACAGAUGCUAAUACCGCAUAGAUCCAAGAACCGCAUGGUUCUUGGCUGAAAGAUGGCGUAAGCUAUCGCUUUUGGAUGGACCCGCGGCGUAUUAGCUAGUUGGUGAGGUAAUGGCUCACCAAGGCGAUGAUACGUAGCCGAACUGAGAGGUUGAUCGGCCACAUUGGGACUGAGACACGGCCCAAACUCCUACGGGAGGCAGCAGUAGGGAAUCUUCCACAAUGGACGCAAGUCUGAUGGAGCAACGCCGCGUGAGUGAAGAAGGCUUUCGGGUCGUAAAACUCUGUUGUUGGAGAAGAAUGGUCGGCAGAGUAACUGUUGUCGGCGUGACGGUAUCCAACCAGAAAGCCACGGCUAACUACGUGCCAGCAGCCGCGGUAAUACGUAGGUGGCAAGCGUUAUCCGGAUUUAUUGGGCGUAAAGCGAGCGCAGGCGGUUUUUUAAGUCUGAUGUGAAAGCCCUCGGCUUAACCGAGGAAGCGCAUCGGAAACUGGGAAACUUGAGUGCAGAAGAGGACAGUGGAACUCCAUGUGUAGCGGUGAAAUGCGUAGAUAUAUGGAAGAACACCAGUGGCGAAGGCGGCUGUCUGGUCUGUAACUGACGCUGAGGCUCGAAAGCAUGGGUAGCGAACAGGAUUAGAUACCCUGGUAGUCCAUGCCGUAAACGAUGAAUGCUAGGUGUUGGAGGGUUUCCGCCCUUCAGUGCCGCAGCUAACGCAUUAAGCAUUCCGCCUGGGGAGUACGACCGCAAGGUUGAAACUCAAAGGAAUUGACGGGGGCCCGCACAAGCGGUGGAGCAUGUGGUUUAAUUCGAAGCAACGCGAAGAACCUUACCAGGUCUUGACAUCUUUUGAUCACCUGAGAGAUCAGGUUUCCCCUUCGGGGGCAAAAUGACAGGUGGUGCAUGGUUGUCGUCAGCUCGUGUCGUGAGAUGUUGGGUUAAGUCCCGCAACGAGCGCAACCCUUAUGACUAGUUGCCAGCAUUUAGUUGGGCACUCUAGUAAGACUGCCGGUGACAAACCGGAGGAAGGUGGGGAUGACGUCAAAUCAUCAUGCCCCUUAUGACCUGGGCUACACACGUGCUACAAUGGAUGGUACAACGAGUUGCGAGACCGCGAGGUCAAGCUAAUCUCUUAAAGCCAUUCUCAGUUCGGACUGUAGGCUGCAACUCGCCUACACGAAGUCGGAAUCGCUAGUAAUCGCGGAUCAGCACGCCGCGGUGAAUACGUUCCCGGGCCUUGUACACACCGCCCGUCACACCAUGAGAGUUUGUAACACCCGAAGCCGGUGGCGUAACCCUUUUAGGGAGCGAGCCGUCUAAGGUGACAAAAU